Molecule: ribosomal RNA, 235 nt
Filed under: uncultured bacterium
Lineage: Bacteria
Description: partial 16S ribosomal RNA
Rfam family: Bacterial small subunit ribosomal RNA
Source: RNAcentral
UGGCGGACGGGUGAGUAAUGUCUGGGAAACUGCCCGAUGGAGGGGGAUAACUACUGGAAACGGUAGCUAAUACCGCAUAACGUCGCAAGACCAAAGAGGGGGACCUUAGGGCCUCUUGCCAUCGGAUGUGCCCAGAUGGGAUUAGCUAGUAGGUGGGGUAAUGGCUCACCUAGGCGACGAUCCCUAGCUGGUCUGAGAGGAUGACCAACCACACUGGAACUGAGACACGGCCCAG